This 440-nucleotide ribosomal RNA is filed under the name uncultured bacterium. RNAcentral's name for it is "partial 16S ribosomal RNA". It matches the Rfam family "Bacterial small subunit ribosomal RNA", at positions 338 to 795 of the family's 1533-position model. The record is from RNAcentral.
CCUACGGGAGGCAGCAGUGGGGGAUAUUGCACAAUGGGGGGAACCCUGAUGCAGCGACGCCGCGUGGGUGAAGAAGCGCCUCGGCGCGUAAAGUCCUGUCAGCAGGGAAGAAAAUGACGGUACCUGAAGAAGAAGCCCCGGCUAACUACGUGCCAGCAGCCGCGGUAAUACGUAGGGGGCAAGCGUUAUCCGGAUUUACUGGGUGGAAAGGGGGCGCAGACGGCGAUGCAAGCCAGGAGUGAAAGCCCGGGGCCCAACCCCGGGACUGCGCUUGGAACUGCGUGGCUGGAGUGCAGGAGGGGCAGGCGGAAUUCCUGGUGUAGCGGUGAAAUGCGUAGAUAUCAGGAGGAACACCGGUGGCGAAGGCGGCCUGCUGGACUGCAACUGACGUUGAGGCCCGAAAGCGUGGGGAGCAAACAGGAUUAGAUACCCCAGUAGUC